This 274-nucleotide ribosomal RNA is filed under the name uncultured bacterium. RNAcentral describes it as "partial 16S ribosomal RNA". It matches the Rfam family "Bacterial small subunit ribosomal RNA", at positions 523 to 796 of the family's 1533-position model. The record is from RNAcentral.
AUACGAGGGGUGCAAGCGUUAAUCGGAAUUACUGGGCGCAAAGCGUUCGUAGGCGGUUUGUUAAGCAAGAUGUGAAAGCCCCGGGCUCAACCUGGGAACUGCAUUUUGAACUGGCAAACUAGAGUACUGUAGAGGGUGGUGGAAUUUCCAGUGUAGCGGUGAAAUGCGUAGAGAUUGGAAGGAACAUCAGUGGCGAAGGCGGCCACCUGGACAGAUACUGACGCUGAGGAACGAAAGCGUGGGGAGCAAACAGGAUUAGAAACCCUAGUAGUCC